RNAcentral lists this transfer RNA (82 nucleotides) under Ancylostoma duodenale. It matches the Rfam family "tRNA". From Rfam's summary of the family: Transfer RNA (tRNA) molecules are approximately 80 nucleotides in length. Their secondary structure includes four short double-helical elements and three loops (D, anti-codon, and T loops). Further hydrogen bonds mediate the characteristic L-shaped molecular structure. tRNAs have two regions of fundamental functional importance: the anti-codon, which is responsible for specific mRNA codon recognition, and the 3' end, to which the tRNAs corresponding amino acid is attached (by aminoacyl-tRNA synthetases). tRNAs cope with the degeneracy of the genetic code in two manners: having more than one tRNA (with a specific anti-codon) for a particular amino acid; and 'wobble' base-pairing, i.e. permitting non-standard base-pairing at the 3rd anti-codon position. The record is from Rfam by way of RNAcentral. Lineage: Eukaryota; Metazoa; Nematoda; Chromadorea; Rhabditida; Ancylostomatidae.
GAUCAGGUGGCCGAGUGGUUAAGACGAUGGACUGCUAAUCCGUUGAGGUUUCACCGCGUGAGUUCGGAUCUCAUCCUGAUCG